UUCAUUCUUUCAUAUACUAGGAGUUUUUACUUGGAAAAGACAAUGUUCCAUACUAAAGGAUUCGGGUCCAUAACCACGAGUUCCAGUGCACUUGAUCUUGUAGCACUUAGCAAUGAAGCCCUAUCCAUUAGUAUUCCACAUAAGAAACCCAUUCUAGAAAAAAAUACAAUUAGAUUAGCUCUUCAUAGACAAACUUGGGGUUUGCGAGCCAAGGUAAGAUCGUCUCGGUAUCAAGGGACCCUUUUCUAUCAGAUAGGAGGCGCCCUUGUACAAAAUAGACUUACUAAGAGGCUGUUUGGUUUGUAA
This 306-nucleotide ribosomal RNA is filed under the name Triticum aestivum (bread wheat). Its description in RNAcentral is "partial small subunit ribosomal RNA". Lineage: Eukaryota; Viridiplantae; Streptophyta; Magnoliopsida; Poales; Poaceae. The record is from RNAcentral.